Molecule: ribosomal RNA, 894 nt
Filed under: uncultured bacterium
Lineage: Bacteria
Description: bacterial SSU rRNA
Rfam family: Bacterial small subunit ribosomal RNA
Source: RNAcentral
AGAGUUUGAUCCUGGCUCAGGAUGAACGCUGGCGGCGUGCCUAACACAUGCAAGUCGAACGGAACUUCUUUGACAGAAUUCUUCGGAAGGAAGUUGAUUUAGUUUAGUGGCGGACGGGUGAGUAACGCGUGAGUAACCUGCCUUCAAGGGGGGGAUAACAUUCUGAAAAGAAUGCUAAUACCGCAUGACAUAUCGGAAUCACAUGAUUUUGAUAUCAAAGAUUUUAUCGCUUGAGGAUGGACUCGCGUCCGAUUAGUUAGUUGGUGAGGUAACGGCUCACCAAGACCGCGAUCGGUAGCCGGACUGAGAGGUUGAACGGCCACAUUGGGACUGAGACACGGCCCAGACUCCUACGGGAGGCAGCAGUGGGGGAUAUUGCGCAAUGGGGGGAAACCCUGACGCAGCAACGCCGCGUGAAGGAUGAAGGUCUUCGGAUUGUAAACUUCUUUUAUUAAGGACGAAGAAAGUGACGGUACUUAAUGAAUAAGCUCCGGCUAACUACGUGCCAGCAGCCGCGGUAAUACGUAGGGAGCAAGCGUUGUCCGGAUUUACUGGGUGUAAAGGGUGCGUAGGCGGCUUUGCAAGUCAGAUGUGAAAUCUAUGGGCUCAACCCAUAGCCUGCAUUUGAAACUGCAGAGCUUGAGUGAAGUAGAGGCAGGCGGAAUUCCCCGUGUAGCGGUGAAAUGCGUAGAGAUGGGGAGGAACACCAGUGGCGAAGGCGGCCUGCUGGGCUUUAACUGACGCUGAGGCACGAAAGCGUGGGUAGCAAACAGGAUUAGAUACCCUGGUAGUCCACGCUGUAAACGAUGAUUACUAGGUGUGGGGGGUCUGACCCCUUCCGUGCCGGAGUUAACACAAUAAGUAAUCCACCUGGGGAGUACGGCCGCAAGGUUG